GGUGGUUCUCAGGUGACACACCCCUGAAUGGGCUCCCUCCUCUCUGGUUCCGGGUGCAUCACCCAAGAACCGUA
This is a non-coding RNA of Myotis lucifugus (little brown bat), 74 nucleotides long. NCBI's taxonomy places the organism in Eukaryota, Metazoa, Chordata, Mammalia, Chiroptera, Vespertilionidae. The record is from Rfam.